AGAUUGAACGCUGGCGGCAUGCCUUACACAUGCAAGUCGAACGGCAGCACGGGAGCAAUCCUGGUGGCGAGUGGCGAACGGGUGAGUAAUAUAUCGGAACGUGCCCAGUCGUGGGGGAUAACGUAGAGAAAUUUACGCUAAUACCGCAUACGAUCCAAGGAUGAAAGCGGGGGACCGUAAGGCCUCGCGCGACUGGAGCGGCUGAUAUCAGAUUAGCUUGUUGGUGAAGGUAAAAGCUCACCAAGGCGACGAUCUGUAGCUGGUUUGAGAGAACGACCAGCCA
RNAcentral lists this ribosomal RNA (283 nucleotides) under uncultured soil bacterium. Its description in RNAcentral is "partial 16S ribosomal RNA". It matches the Rfam family "Bacterial small subunit ribosomal RNA", at positions 26 to 310 of the family's 1533-position model. The record is from RNAcentral.